Molecule: long non-coding RNA, 343 nt
Organism: Xenopus laevis (African clawed frog)
Lineage: Eukaryota; Metazoa; Chordata; Amphibia; Anura; Pipidae
Exons: 2
Source: RefSeq, a predicted model, not a curated record
GGUUUAUUGAGCCCUAUAUGCUGCCAGUGUGGUAUUUGGCCAUUAUGGGAAGCAGCUUUGCAAGUGUGGGAAAAGACCACAGAGGAAGCAGUUAGACUAUGGCACAGAUCAAGACCGUGCAGCAACUGUUUGCAAAACCUGCUAUCACAAGAAAUGCUUCAGCACCUGGGAUUGCUCUAAGUGCUGCACAAUCAAAAGGAGAACAGUCCUGAAGAGAAGUCCGUCGCCAAGUCUACAGCAGACUGAAAGGAAACCAGUGCAAUGAUAAGUUUUGUUUUAUACCUCAAUCUGUAUAUUAUGCACAGAAGUUUAUUUAAGAAAUUAAAUUUAAAUAUUACAUUUU